This is a long non-coding RNA of Cheilinus undulatus (humphead wrasse), 694 nucleotides long. RefSeq lists it as uncharacterized. Lineage: Eukaryota; Metazoa; Chordata; Actinopteri; Labriformes; Labridae. The transcript has 5 exons. The record is from RefSeq and is a predicted model, not a curated record.
ACUUCCCCUGCCAAUGGGUCCUUCAACUCAGAGAAGGGAGGGACACCAAGGAUGGCGGGGGAAGCCUUUGUCCAAGCUGAGGUCUGGAAAACAUUCCUCUGCAUUUCAUGGGCCUUUGGACCUCCUCCAUGUUGCUGACGAGCCUGGUUGUCUUGCAGCCAGUCAGACAAGGACCUGGACUGAGAGAGGGAGCAGGACUUGCUACACCCUCACCAUGCACUAUGCCCCCAAGUACCUGAACUUCAGGAUUAAUGUCACCAUGGCAUGUCGAGGACAGAGUCAACUACUCUUGUCAUGUUGCGGAGAAGUGAUGACCUAUCUGCUUUACAUGGAGCUUUGGACCUCCAUCUUGUUGCUGUGAUGAGCAUGAUUGCCUUGCAGUUGGACAAAGACCUGGGCUGAGAGAGGGAGCAGACUCUCUCUACUCUUGUGGUACGACCCAGACUGGCCCAUACACCACUCCUGUAUAAGUGGAAGACUGCUGAUGUUCUGGUCAGCACUGUACCCUCUUGUUGCUUCUGCAGGAUGGACAUCAUUGUGGCAUGUCAAGGACAGAGUGAACCAGACUGUCAUGUUGCAGAGAUGUGAUGACUAAUCUGCAUUUCAUGGACCUUUGGACCUCCUCCAUGUUGCUGGAAUGAGCAUAAUUGCCCUGCAGGGACCAGGACUAGUUUCACCCUCACUAACACAUGGG